AAUAGAUACCCCGGUAGUCCACGCCGUAAACGAUGAGUGCUAAGUGUUAGAGGGUUUCCGCCCUUUAGUGCUGCAGCUAACGCAUUAAGCACUCCGCCUGGGGAGUACGGCCGCAAGGCUGAAACUCAAAGGAAUUGACGGGGGCCCGCACAAGCGGUGGAGCAUGUGGUUUAAUUCGAAGCAACGCGAAGAACCUUACCAGGUCUUGACAUCCUCUGCCAACCCUAGAGAUAGGGCGUUCCCUUUCGGGGGGACAGAGUGACAGGUGGUGCAUGGUUGUCGUCAGCUCGUGUCGUGAGAUGUUGGGUUAAGUCCCGCAACGAGCGCAACCCUUGAUCUUAGUUGCCAGCAUUCAGUUGGGCACUCUAAGGUGACUGCCGGUGACAAACCGGAGGAAGGUGGGGAUGACGUCAAAUCAUCAUGCCCCUUAUGACCUGGGCUACACACGUGCUACAAUGGAUGGUACAAAGAGCUGCGAACCCGCGAGGGUAAGCGAAUCUCAUAAAGCCAUUCUCAGUUCGGA
Molecule: ribosomal RNA, 523 nt
Filed under: uncultured bacterium
Lineage: Bacteria
Description: bacterial SSU rRNA
Rfam family: Bacterial small subunit ribosomal RNA
Source: RNAcentral